GGGUGGGGCUGCCUUAACAUGCAGUCGAACGGUAACAGGGAGCUUGCUCCGCUGACGAGUGGCGAACGGGUGAGUAAUACAUCGGAACGUGCCCAGUAAUGGGGGAUAGCUCGGCGAAAGCCGGAUUAAUACCGCAUACGCCCUGAGGGGGAAAGUGGGGGACCGCAAGGCCUCACGUUAUUGGAGCGGCCGAUGGCUGAUUAGCUAGUUGGUAGGGUAAAGGCCUACCAAGGCGACGAUCAGUAGCUGGUCUGAGAGGACGAUCAGCCACACUGGGACUGAGACACGGCCCAGACUCCUACGGGAGGCAGCAGUGGGGAAUUUUGGACAAUGGGGGAAACCCUGAUCCAGCAAUGCCGCGUGUGCGAAGAAGGCCUUCGGGUUGUAAAGCACUUUUGUCAGGGAAGAAAUCCUUUGGGCUAAUACCCUAGGGGGAUGACGGUACCUGAAGAAUAAGCACCGGCUAACUACGUGCCAGCAGCCGCGGUAAUACGUAGGGUGCAAGCGUUAAUCGGAAUUACUGGGCGUAAAGCGUGCGCAGGCGGUUGUGUAAGACAGGUGUGAAAUCCCCGGGCUUAACCUGGGAAUUGCAUUUGUGACUGCACGACUA
Molecule: ribosomal RNA, 610 nt
Filed under: Limnobacter sp.
Lineage: Bacteria; Pseudomonadati; Pseudomonadota; Betaproteobacteria; Burkholderiales; Burkholderiaceae
Description: bacterial SSU rRNA
Rfam family: Bacterial small subunit ribosomal RNA
Source: RNAcentral